CCCUUAGAUGUUCUGGGCAGCACGCGCGCUACAAUGGUCUUCGCAAACGGAUGCAUUCUCGAAGGAGAAUGCCAAUCUUGGAAUCUAUGCCUUGGUCGGGACAGUUGCUUGCAAUUUUUCGACUCGAACCAGGAAUUCCUUGUAAUCGUGAUUCAUCACAUCACGAUGAAUACGUCCCUGCCCUUUGUACACACCGCCCGUCGCUCCUACCGAUCGAAGAGUUAGGUGAAUUGUUUUGAUCGAUAAGAUUUGACUAUGGUCAACUCUCGUUGGGAAAUUCUGUGAAUCUGACUGUUGAGAGGAAGGAAAAGUCGUAACA
Molecule: ribosomal RNA, 319 nt
Filed under: uncultured eukaryote
Lineage: Eukaryota
Description: partial 18S ribosomal RNA
Rfam family: Eukaryotic small subunit ribosomal RNA
Source: RNAcentral